AGAUUGAACGCUAGCGGCAUGCCUAACACAUGCAAGUCGAACGGUAACAGGCCCUUCGGGGUGCUGACGAGUGGCGGACGGGUGAGUAAUGCGUAGGAAUCUGCCCACGAGGUGGGGGAUACGCCCGGAGAAAUCCGGAUUAAUACCGCAUAUGCCCCGACGGGGUAAAGGCGGGGGAUCGUAAGACCUCGCGCUGGUGGAUGAGCCUACGUCCGAUUAGUUAGUUGGGUAGGGGUAAAGGCCUACCAAGGCUACGAUCGGUAGCUGGUCUGAGAGGAUGAUCAGCCGACACUGGGACUGACGACACGGCCCAGACUCCUACGGGAGGCAGC
Molecule: ribosomal RNA, 332 nt
Filed under: uncultured prokaryote
Description: bacterial SSU rRNA
Rfam family: Bacterial small subunit ribosomal RNA
Source: RNAcentral